CGGUAGGGCGGGACCGGGGUGGAGGUAAUGUCUGGGAAACGUCUCGAUGGAGGGGGAUAACUACUGGAAACGGUAGCUAAUACCGCAUAACGUCGCAAGACCAAAGAGGGGGACCUUCGGGCCUCUUGCCAUCGGAUGUGCCCAGAUGGGAUUAGCUAGUAGGUGGGGUAACGGCUCACCUAGGCGACGAUCCCUAGCUGGUCUGAGAGGAUGACCAGCCACACUGGAACUGAGACACGGUCCAG
Molecule: ribosomal RNA, 245 nt
Filed under: uncultured bacterium
Lineage: Bacteria
Description: partial 16S ribosomal RNA
Rfam family: Bacterial small subunit ribosomal RNA
Source: RNAcentral